Molecule: long non-coding RNA, 251 nt
Filed under: Sorghum bicolor (sorghum)
Lineage: Eukaryota; Viridiplantae; Streptophyta; Magnoliopsida; Poales; Poaceae
Description: long non-coding RNA (SBIC_LNC002835)
Source: RNAcentral
ACCCAGUCCUUGCUCAUAUAAAACAUCUCUCCAAUCAAUUAGUCUCUCCAUCCUUACCACAUUUGAGAUCUCCAACCCUCUCUUCCUUUCUAUUUAUAAAAACUUUAAAAGGGUGGUUGUCGAUGCAUAUGUCUAUAAUAAAUAUUGCAGAUCUCGUUGAGUUGAUCUUGAUAGGUGUUGGAGGGGAAACCACUUUACCAACAUAACUUGAUGGUUUCCCAAGGAUAAGCUUAGUGUUCUAAAACAAGCAC